This 66-nucleotide transfer RNA is filed under the name Anurida maritima. RNAcentral's name for it is "tRNA-Pro". The record is from RNAcentral. Lineage: Eukaryota; Metazoa; Arthropoda; Collembola; Poduromorpha; Neanuridae.
CAUUAGAUAAUUUAUUUAGAAUAUUGGCUUUGGGAGCCGGAGGCAAUGUGUUAGCAUUUCUUUUGA